Bicyclus anynana (squinting bush brown) is the source of this 1590-nucleotide long non-coding RNA. RefSeq lists it as uncharacterized. The transcript is spliced from 2 exons. The record is from RefSeq and is a predicted model, not a curated record. NCBI's taxonomy places the organism in Eukaryota, Metazoa, Arthropoda, Insecta, Lepidoptera, Nymphalidae.
AUCCAGACAAUAAGAAACUGCCAAAGACUUUGAAUUACCUGUGUAGCGUGUAGACUAGCUAACAGCUAACUUACACGUUUAAUUAAUUAAACGUGUAAGUUAGCUGUUAGUAAAUGUAAUAAAUAUGGUACAAACACGCAUCUCGCUAUCGAGUGUAGAUCCAUAUAAGAUAGUCGAUCAGUAAAGCUCCUAACGUGAACACGCCUUUUAUUUAAAUGCCAUCUAACCGAACAUAUUAUAACCGGCAAACCUGAAAACAAGUGAACUUUUUACGCAUUGCAUUGUGCUAAGCAGCUUAAAGUACUUUGCGUGCUGCAAUGCGUGAAAAUAUAAUACUUGUAUGCAAGUUUCCUCAUGAUUUUUUCCUUCACCGAUUGAGACACGUGAUAAGUAUAUUAAUUUCUCAAAAUGCACAUAUAGUAGGAGAGCUGGCAAGAAUUUUUGGGUAGGUAUUUGAGGCAAGCUGAAAACUUGUCCUGUACCUCUCCUAUUAUAUCCCAAUACGAAACUGCAGACCUGGCUGGUGAGUAGCGGGGCUAAAUCAACCCCCAAAUUUUUAAAAAUAUUUUUUUUUUUUAUCCAAAAAUAUACUUGAGGCAAUUUGCAAUUUUUAUAUGUUGUAGUUUAAUAUUUAUAGAAUAUAAAAAAAAAUAAGCCAGACGAUUCAGUCGGGGUUUUAACAUUGCCAGGCGCGUUCAAAAAUAUUUUGCAAAAAAAUAUAAAAAAUGUAUUUGAGGCAACUUGAAAUUUUAAUAGAGUAUUAUUUAUAACUAAAAAAUAAGACUCUCAAAAAGACAGAUCAUUUCGGUGGGACUUUUUACCUGCCAGGUGAAAUACAAAUAAAAAAUAAAAUACAAAUUUUGUAUGGGUGCGAGUGCGAAGCGCUAUAGACAAACUGUAGAGUGAGAUAGAGCGUUUAUCGGCAAAAAGCUUUAACAGAUCUUGGAGUUGCACAUAUUACCGGAUCACGUGAAGAAAUUUUGACAAUUUUGGAAGCAUUUAUUUGUGAAAUUUAUGGAUAUAAAAAUAUAUCAAAUAUAAAUGCAGCACGGUUUCAAAAAUUUUGUGUAACUUACAAAGCUAACACUGAAGAUAUGAACCUUUCAAAAAAACUUUAAAAAAUUGUGAUCCCUCUACUUUACCUCCGUGCAAAGCUGAAUUACAACAACAUCUUUUAAGAACGCAAUAUAUAACGAGUAUUUGGAGAAAUGCAUAUUUGCGAUUCCCCAGCAGUUUGACACCGAAUAGAAACGGAUGGACACUUCAUGAGGAUACGCUACAUUUCCACUGGUUCGACGGAGAUUGUAUGCCGCAAUCAGUAUUCGACGCUAUUGUUCAUGAAAACAAUAAACAAAAUAAUAUUGGAAAUGAUACUACAGAUAAUGCAGGGGUAUCCGAAUUAGACACAGAUGAAUCUGAAGUUGAUUCUGAUAGCUCUGAUGAAGGAGCAUCUACAGAAGAAGAAUGACAAUUUCUUUCUGAUAUGACAGGGAAUUAAUUACAUUGAUAUUUGUAUACUCAUAAUAAUUCUGCAGCUGUAUUAUUAGUAUAUAAUUUUUCUAUUUCAAUAAAUCUGAUUUUGUAAUUUUA